Molecule: long non-coding RNA, 554 nt
Organism: Lepus europaeus (European hare)
Lineage: Eukaryota; Metazoa; Chordata; Mammalia; Lagomorpha; Leporidae
Exons: 3
Source: RefSeq, a predicted model, not a curated record
CUCCCUCCAGGCGUGGGCCAAGCAUACAGUGUGGGGGUGCCUUGCUCCUUAGCCCCGGCCGGCAUUGCACUCGGCUUCGCCCGUCUCUCUGCCGAGAACUCGGCCCGGCCCCUCUGACUCUGGAAAUUCGGUGACGAUGAGAGAAGUUGUAAGGCUCGAAUCGGCCCGCUGGGAUUCCGGGGAAGCUGCUGUGUGAUGCGGUCUUGUCUUCUCGCCUUACCCCGAACGUUCAGCCGUGCCUUUGUCAUCUUCCUUAGGCCUGGGCAUUUCCCAGUGGAAAGACGGUCACUGCAGCUGGAGAGCUUGGGGUCAGAUCUUAGGAAGAACUUCCCAGAGCAGUUUUAGGAGUAUGGCACCCUGGGAGCCCCUUGAGGCCAGAGACCGGAUCCUACUCCUGUGUUCUCAGCAUCCUGCACACAGGAGGCCUGCCCCACACCUGCAGAUCGGGUCAGGUGCUGCUGGCUCCACCGCUCCCUGGCAUCCUGAGCUGCCCUUCGAGUGACAUGCUUCCUGAGGAAAGAGCCUUUUGGGGGACAGAUGGUACUGAGUAAAUG